Molecule: non-coding RNA, 26 nt
Filed under: Rattus norvegicus (Norway rat)
Lineage: Eukaryota; Metazoa; Chordata; Mammalia; Rodentia; Muridae
Source: RNAcentral
UUCUUGGGACUGAUGUUGAUGGCUGG